RNAcentral lists this long non-coding RNA (256 nucleotides) under Brassica napus (rape). Its description in RNAcentral is "long non-coding RNA (BNAP_LNC025293)". The record is from RNAcentral. Lineage: Eukaryota; Viridiplantae; Streptophyta; Magnoliopsida; Brassicales; Brassicaceae.
UGUAAAGAUGCUUCACAUGCUUGGACAGGCUGUAAAGGUGCUUUACCUUUCCAGCUAUGACCAGACCUUAUCCAAACUACUUCUUCCUUAUCCAGACUUCCUCUUGGGCGUGAUCCACUCUCCAAAGGGAUGCAAAGUAACUUCCUAAGCUUUUAACCUAGUUACCACAGUCAAACCGAAGUUACUGUGGUAAAACUCCAAAGUUACUAUCUGCCCCAAUACUCUUCCUCUAUCAAUGUAUCACCUCUUCUCAACA